AACGAACGCUGGCGGCAGGCCUAACACAUGCAAGUCGAGCGCGCCCUUCGGGGUGAGCGGCGGACGGGUGAGUAACGCGUGGGAACGUACCCUUUGCUACGGAAUAGUCUCGGGAAACUGGGGGUAAUACCGUAUGAGCCCUUCGGGGGAAAGAUUUAUCGGCAAAGGGUCGGCCCGCGUUGGAUUAGGUAGUUGGUGGGGUAAUGGCCCACCAAGCCGACGAUCCAUAGCUGGUUUGAGAGGAUGAUCAGCCACACUGGGACUGAGACACGGCCCAGACUCCUACGGGAGGCAGCAGUGGGGAAUCUUAGACAAUGGGCGCAAGCCUGAUCUAGCCAUGCCGCGUGAGCGAUGAAGGCCUUAGGGUUGUAAAGCUCUUUCGUGGGGGAAGAUAAUGACUGUACCCCAAGAAGAAGCCCCGGCUAACUCCGUGCCAGCAGCCGCGGUAAUGUCUGUACU
This 459-nucleotide ribosomal RNA is filed under the name uncultured bacterium. Its description in RNAcentral is "bacterial SSU rRNA". It matches the Rfam family "Bacterial small subunit ribosomal RNA", at positions 29 to 531 of the family's 1533-position model. The record is from RNAcentral.